UCGCUUCUGUUUAUGUCCCGCCCGUAAAUGUUCAAUGAAACAACAUGCGCUCACGCUCGACUUGGAGCGACCGUGGAG
Maniola jurtina (meadow brown) is the source of this 78-nucleotide long non-coding RNA. RefSeq lists it as uncharacterized. The transcript has 3 exons. NCBI's taxonomy places the organism in Eukaryota, Metazoa, Arthropoda, Insecta, Lepidoptera, Nymphalidae. The record is from RefSeq and is a predicted model, not a curated record.